This 1348-nucleotide long non-coding RNA is filed under the name Citrus maxima (pomelo). RNAcentral's name for it is "long non-coding RNA (CMAX_LNC003995)". Lineage: Eukaryota; Viridiplantae; Streptophyta; Magnoliopsida; Sapindales; Rutaceae. The record is from RNAcentral.
UUUGACCAAAAAAUAAUUAUAUUGAGAAUAUAAAAAUUACAACCAGUAUUAUCACAGUUGGCCCAACAUAUCUUACAAGGGUGAUUCCAGUAACUACAUCAAACUCUAUAUAAGAAGAUUAAUUAUUCAAUUAAACCCCCCAAAAAUUGAAUCAUUUCUCAAUAAUCUGCACUAGUGUUACAUUCUUAGCUUUUUAUUUAAUUCCCAAAUCUUUUAACAUUUACCUUUUGAUGCAUUGAAAAUAUCUGAAAUACUUUCACAGUUUUACAGGAGCAAGAGCAAAGCCACUUAAUCCUUUUGCCCCUUGCUGUUUGCUUUAAGACCUUUUGACCCCUGCUAUACAACCAGGGAUGGCAAAAACCGGGUCCGGGUCCGGGUUUGGCCUUCCCGGUUCCGGACCCGGACACUAAAAUGUUGUACCGGACCCGGAUUUAAACCCGGAUUUUAUGACACCGGGUCCGGUACGGGUUAAACCCGGAAUAAUCCGGGUUUCCGGACUGCGGGUUUUCAACCCGGAUCACAUACAAAUAAAAUAAAAAAAAUCAAAUUCACUUCACAAAUUUACAAAACCAGAUUCUACCCAAAUCAAAUACAAAGCAAUAAACCAUUUUAAAUUUACAGAUUUUAAAUUUCAAAGCAAUAAACCAUUUAUAAAUACAGAUCUAUGAUAUAACAUUCACAAAAUACAAAUCCAUGUCUACAAUUCACAUCACAGCCGCGAUUCACAGAUUUAGUUCACAAACUUCAACAAUCGGUGUCUAGUAAAGCAAUGAACAACAGCUGUUGAUGAUAUGAUGAUGAUGAACGCGUCACAGACGCGAGCGUUAUUCGCAAAAGGCGUAUGGAUGGCAGCCAAAACCAAGAUCGCGAUGGACAAACGGCUGCCAAACGGAGGCUGAUGAUGAUGAUGAGCGGGAACACAACGAUGUGAAGUGAUGACGAGUGACAAUGACGAUUUGAUGAAGAGAAGAACUGAAGAGAGACGAAAAGGAUGAUUUGAUGAAGAGAAGAGGAGAAGAGAAGAGAAAAGGUGAAGAGAUAGGAGAAGAAUGAAUUGGCGGCUGUGAAGUGAAAGUGUGAACUAGGGUUACUGACUUUUUUUCCCUUUUUAUAUUAAAAAAAAUAAUUUAAAUAUAAUAUUAAAAUAAGGACAUCCGGGUCCGGGUUCCGCAUAUGCGGGUUUAUGCGAACCCGGAACCGGACCCGGAAACGUCCGGGUUGGCAAAAUCACAUCCGGAUCCGGAUUUAUUUUUAAUCCGGUACGGGUUGAACCCGUACCGGAUUAUCCGGGUUCGUCCGGGUCCGGGCCGGGUCCGGGUUAAAUUGCCAUCUCUAUAUACAACAAGCC